CCACCCUUGCCCCGCCCUUUUCCCUAAAUCCGUUGCUGCUGAAUAACCCUCUGUAUAAGGUUUGUUUUGUGCAACCCCUUUCCCUCGAAGAAGCCUCUCUGGAAGCAUUGGAAGCCUCAUUGUGUUUCUUUCGAAUAGCAGGGGAUCAAAGA
Molecule: non-coding RNA, 152 nt
Organism: Cajanus cajan (pigeon pea)
Lineage: Eukaryota; Viridiplantae; Streptophyta; Magnoliopsida; Fabales; Fabaceae
Source: RefSeq, a predicted model, not a curated record